AAGAUCUAAGGAAUUGGUCCUGGCUUCAUCCCUGGUGUUUUGGAUGUCAAUUUACUUGAUGAAGUUAUCCAAAUUUCUAGUGAAGAAGCUAUUGAAACUGCGAAACUUCUAGCAUUGAAAGAGGGUCUGUUGGUGGGGAUAUCAUCUGGUGCUGCUGCAACUGCUGCAAUUAGGAUUACAAAGAGGCCU
This is a long non-coding RNA of Arachis stenosperma, 189 nucleotides long. RefSeq lists it as uncharacterized. The record is from RefSeq and is a predicted model, not a curated record. The transcript has 3 exons. NCBI's taxonomy places the organism in Eukaryota, Viridiplantae, Streptophyta, Magnoliopsida, Fabales, Fabaceae.